UACGUAGGGUGCAAGCGUUAAUCGGAAUUACUGGGCGUAAAGCGUGCGCAGGCGGCUUUGCAAGACAGAUGUGAAAUCCCCGGGCUUAACCUGGGAAUGGCAUUUGGGACUGCAAGGCUUGAGUUUGGCAGAGGAGACUGGAAUUCCUGGUGUAGCAGUGAAAUGCGUAGAUAUCAGGAGGAAUACCGAUGGCGAAGGCAGCCUCCUGGGCCAGCACUGACGCUCAUGCACGAAAGCGUGGGGAGCAAACAGG
RNAcentral lists this ribosomal RNA (253 nucleotides) under uncultured bacterium. Its description in RNAcentral is "partial 16S ribosomal RNA". It matches the Rfam family "Bacterial small subunit ribosomal RNA", at positions 524 to 776 of the family's 1533-position model. The record is from RNAcentral.